GGCUCAGGAUGAACGGCUAGCGGCAGGCUUAAUACAUGCAAGUCGUGGGGCAGCAUGAGUAGCAAUACUUGAUGGCGACCGGCAAACGGGUGAGGAACACGUACACAACCUCCUUCAAGCGGGGAAUAGCCCAGAGAAAUUUGGAUUAAUACCCCAUAAUAUAUUUGAUAAGGCAUCUUAUUAAUAUUAAAGCUUCGGCACUUGAUGAUGGGUGUGCGGCUGAUUAGAUAGUUGGCGGGGUAACGGCCCACCAAGUCUACGAUCAGUAGCUGAUGUGAGAGCAUGAUCAGCCACACGGGCACUGAGACACGGGCCCGACUCCUACGGGAGGCAGCAGUAAGGAAUAUUGGACAAUGGACGAAAGUCUGAUCCAGCCAUGCCCGCGUGAAGGAUUAAGGUCCUCUGGAUUGUAAACUUCUUUUAUAUGGGACGAAAAAAGGGCAUUCUUGUUCACUUGACGGUACCAUAUGAAUAAGCACCGGCUAACUCCGUG
RNAcentral lists this ribosomal RNA (493 nucleotides) under uncultured bacterium. RNAcentral's name for it is "bacterial SSU rRNA". It matches the Rfam family "Bacterial small subunit ribosomal RNA", at positions 21 to 507 of the family's 1533-position model. The record is from RNAcentral.